Molecule: long non-coding RNA, 2378 nt
Filed under: Lingula anatina
Lineage: Eukaryota; Metazoa; Brachiopoda; Lingulata; Lingulida; Lingulidae
Description: uncharacterized LOC106170733
Source: RNAcentral
UUGCUGGGGACAUGUUCAUGCCCCCCAAUGAUCCCUUCGGCAGAGGAGGUCCAACACUGGACCAGUUACUGAAAAAACUAGACCCCAGGGAGAUGGAGAGAUUGAUGAGAGAAUGUCAAAGAGGACCAAGUCCUCAAAGAGGCGUUGGAGGUUGGGGUCAGAAAGGUCAAAGACCACGAGGGCAUGAUCAAGGUCAGAAUAGAGCAACAAAGCCACCAACAAGGCAACCAAGGUCGGAGGAGAAAAACAGAGAAUUUUUCAAUGAAUUGAGAAAAAUAAUACCUGAUAACGAUGCCAAGAUCCAAGCUGUGCUGAAAAAUCAUCCUUACGAUACGGAUCUGAACAGAUUGGUGGGACACUUGUUGGAUGUUCUGGACUGAAUAAUUGGAUAUCUGAAGAAAAGUCUAAAUAUUCUAUACUGAAGCACAGAUUGCAGCCAUAUGAAAAAUAUUAUUUUUCUUUGGCCAUAUUACUUUUUUCAAUCAAAUAUAAAUGUAAUGAAAAAUGAAGGUAACUUCUCUCUGUGUGAAGGAAGUUGGAUUUCUUUCCAAUUUGACAGAUUUAAUGAAGAGAGAGUUGUUAUAUAUUCAGGUGUGAUAUGCAUGUAUGCCAAAUACGUCAUGUCUGUAUCUUUUGUUUUCAACCUCAGCCAUGGUAAAAGCUAAAUAACACUAUCACUAGAAUGAAAAUUUAGUUUACCCUCUUGCUUUUCCUGUGGUAUAAUUAUUAGUACCACCAUACGAAUGCGCUUACUCCAGCUGGUGGUACAAUAUCCGGAGGCAGUAUUGCCUCUCUGAUCCUCAAGUUUGUAAAGUUCUUCAUUCUUGCUAAUUUUAUUGUUGUAAAUAAAAAGCAAUGCAAAAAAAUACCUAUAAUUGUAAGAAUAUGAAGUAUAAUUCAACAUAUAUAUAAAAGGUAUUGUGAAAGAUUUAGAAGUGGCAAAUGAGAAUUGGUUUAUUUUUGUAUUUACUUCUUGUAACACCAGUGUUUCACCAAGAAAUACUUGAAAUCUGACUUCUAGGACUGAGGAAAUCAGUUUUGAACAAGGUGAGAAGCAACAGAGAGAAACAAUUUUAUUGUGUAGUAUGUAAUUAGCACAGCUUAGUAAAAAAUUACAUCUACAAUGAUUUGAAAAGACAAAAUCCUGUUGAAAAAAAUUACUAGAUAGAAAAUUCAGUAAUGCAGUCCACAAGGACAUGUAUAUGUGGGAUAUUGAUCACAUCCAUAUUCAAAGAUGCUUUUGUAAAUUUGUGAUUUUAUAACCAACCAGUUUAGUAUGUGUGUUUUGCAAUAACGAUGUAUUCAUUGGAUAUAAAAUGAAGCAAUGCAGUCUGUAAACGUGGGAUAUUUUCUAUAUAUUAUCUUUAUGUUUUUGUAAAUCUUUACCUUUCAAAUGCUAAUUUAAUAGGAAGUCUGUAACAAAUUUUUGUUUUAUCUUUCAUAUAACCUCAGUAGUUAAGAUGGCACUACUUGAACAUUUAAGUGUGAUCUUCUGGUAGGACUUCUACGUAUAAUUAUUUGUUUAAUGGAUGGGAGGUGUAAUAGUAGAUACUAGAUGGACUGUUCUCCUCCCCAUCUCCCAUUCACAUCUUCCAAGUUGUAAAAUAUACAAGUAGAUCAGUAUUAAUUGGUUAAAAAGUUAGAGGUUAUCAUAUUUUUGUAUCUUCAUUUAUUUUAGCUUAAAUAAUUAUUCAGGAGUACAAACUGUCCUGUCCACUUACCAUGAUGUGGGAUAUUGUUGCUUUUACUGAGAUUAUUUUUCUUAUUUUAAUCUUCUGUGUGUGUGCACUGUGAAGCUUUUUGCAAAAGUUGAUUUUGAGUUUCAUGUUUUUUUUUUUGUUUUAACAGAGAAAGUAAUCAGGGGUGCAAUACUUGAAGCUUUUGUAAUUUAGCAAAGUAAUUGACAAUGGUAUUUUCUUAGCUUUUUUUUUUUUUUGAUUGCUUUAAUUUGUUGAUAAAGCAAACUUGCAAAAGUUUCGUGAGAAACAAAUACAACUGUCAAUAAAUAAAAAAGAAAAAUUCUGAUAAUGUUUUUAAUACAAUUUUCCAUGAAUGCAAAUAAAAAUAUAUAAGUGGAAGAUGUGAGUGAGAGGUAUUUAAAAAAGUACACAAGCAGGGCAAGUUACAACACAGGACUUGUUAUUUAAGUGUAUGAGAGGAGAGAAAUAAUUCUCUUCAGAUUUGACUGCAUUAGGUGUGACAAUGUCGAGUGGCAGUGUGUUAGGUGUGAAAAUGUCAUGAAAAUGAGUUAGAUGUGAAAAGUUCAGACAGGAAAGUGUGUUAGGUGAGAAGUUGUUCAGACAUGACAGUGUGGUUGCGUCAAAAUCCAAUUAUGUGUGUUUGAUGUAACAAAGUAAAGACAUUAGAAAUUGUGAUAC